Long non-coding RNA from Salvia hispanica, 552 nucleotides. RefSeq lists it as uncharacterized. NCBI's taxonomy places the organism in Eukaryota, Viridiplantae, Streptophyta, Magnoliopsida, Lamiales, Lamiaceae. The record is from RefSeq and is a predicted model, not a curated record.
CUUGCAAAGGAACAUCAAGUAUAUAAACCCCAAGUCUUUGCACUUUCAAGCACACAUCACUAUCAAACAUUCUAAAAUUCUCUUCACACACACAUACCAACACAACAAAGAAUAGAGGAGUACGAGGAUGGAGGAUGGAGGAUGGAGAUUUGCACACAAUUGUAGAGUCAAGUCCAACGAUACAACAACACUUUUUCACACCAAAAGAAAGGGUUAUCUCCGCAAGUUAACGUCGGAGCAAGAAAUUCAAGUUGAGGAAAAUUAAACGGACGAGGUUGAGCAGCGAAGUGGUGGAGGAAGUGCUAUUGAGACAAUACAUUUUAUUCGGUCAGAUUAGGACUCUCGGAGGUUCAUGUCUCCGUACAUGGAACCGCGUUCUUUUCCUUCCGCUAUGCAUCUUAAAAGACUCAAUUCUAUUUUGUUGAAAACUCUGGUAUUUUGAAAACUUUUACAAAUAAUUACUCGAGUUUUCAUAAACGAGUAUCUUUUCCUCUAUGUAUCAGCACUUGAUUAGUCAUGUCUCCAACCAAUGUUUGAUUUUAUUCUCCCUUA